RNAcentral lists this ribosomal RNA (468 nucleotides) under uncultured bacterium. Its description in RNAcentral is "partial 16S ribosomal RNA". It matches the Rfam family "Bacterial small subunit ribosomal RNA", at positions 28 to 507 of the family's 1533-position model. The record is from RNAcentral.
GACGAACGCUGGCGGCGUGCUUAACACAUGCAAGUCGAACGGAAAGGCCCUGCUUUUGUGGGGUGCUCGAGUGGCGAACGGGUGAGUAACACGGGAGUAACCUGCCCUUGACUUUGGGAUAACUUCAGGAAACUGGGGCUAAUACCGGAUAGGAGCUCCUGCUGCAUGGUGGGGGUUGGAAAGUUUCGGCGGUUGGGGAUGGACUCGCGGUUUACCAGCUUGUUGGUGGGGUAGUGGCUUACCACGGCUUUGACGGGUAGCCGGCCUGAGAGGGUGGCCGAGCACAUUGGGAAAGAGAAGCAGCCUCGUCUCGUAUGGGAGUCAGCAGCGGGGAAUUUUCCACAAUAGUGGGAAGUCUGAUGCUACAACGCCGCUUGCGAGAUGACGGCCUUGGGGUUGUAAACCCAUUUCGCCUGGGACGAGGAGUAAGUGGCGGUAAUGGGUAAAGAAGCACCGGCUAACUACGUG